RNAcentral lists this ribosomal RNA (465 nucleotides) under uncultured Klebsiella sp. Its description in RNAcentral is "bacterial SSU rRNA". It matches the Rfam family "Bacterial small subunit ribosomal RNA", at positions 338 to 795 of the family's 1533-position model. Lineage: Bacteria; Pseudomonadati; Pseudomonadota; Gammaproteobacteria; Enterobacterales; Enterobacteriaceae. The record is from RNAcentral.
CCUACGGGUGGCUGCAGUGGGGAAUAUUGCACAAUGGGCGCAAGCCUGAUGCAGCCAUGCCGCGUGUGUGAAGAAGGCCUUCGGGUUGUAAAGCACUUUCAGCGGGGAGGAAGGCGUUAAGGUUAAUAACCUUGGCGAUUGACGUUACCCGCAGAAGAAGCACCGGCUAACUCCGUGCCAGCAGCCGCGGUAAUACGGAGGGUGCAAGCGUUAAUCGGAAUUACUGGGCGUAAAGCGCACGCAGGCGGUCUGUCAAGUCGGAUGUGAAAUCCCCGGGCUCAACCUGGGAACUGCAUUCGAAAAUGGGAGGCUAGCGGCUUGUUGGGGGGGGUAAGAUUCCAGGUGUUGCGGGGAAAUGCGUAGAAGUCUGGGGGAAUACCGGUGGCGAAAGCGGCCCCCUGGACAAAGAAUGACGCUCAAGUGCGAAAGCGUGGGGAGCAAACAGGAUUAGAUACCCGGGUAGUC